Molecule: non-coding RNA, 1698 nt
Filed under: Pan troglodytes (chimpanzee)
Lineage: Eukaryota; Metazoa; Chordata; Mammalia; Primates; Hominidae
Source: RNAcentral
GGGGAACACCCAGGGCAGCUCCCAUAGGCUGCACAAGGGAAGAGGGGAGGGCUUCUACUGAGGUGAAACAGUGACCCACCCCUCCCACACCGUCAGCCUCCCUCCCCUCUCCACCCUUCAGUGCUGGGACCCCAGGGCCCAUAGACAGCUGGGGGAGUGGGGAGACAGGAGGAACUCAAGCUCAGCUUCUGCCUCCUGUCUUCUGGGACCCUCGGGCAGCCCCUCCAGCUUCCUGGGAGUCCAAUUUCCCAAGGUAGAACGGUGGCGGCAGAGCCUGGCCCUGUGGUGGGGCAGCUGCACCCCGAUGAGUGGCUUGCAGUUCCUGGAGCCCUGCAGGUUGUUGGAGAGGCAGGGAGCCAUUCUCUCUCCCGCCUGCCCUCUUGCACUUCCUCUCCCAGAACCCAGCGCUACUCCCAGAGGCUCUGAGCUGGAGCCCUAGAAGGUAACCACCUCCUGGCUGGACACAGGGCAAGUUGGGGCCAGGCGUGAGGACAGGUGCCCCAGGAGCCACCUGCUCCACUCAUCCACAAAGGCCUUAACUGGCUCAGGGGCCUCGAGCUCCCAGUCAAGCCCUGCCCUCCUGACCUUGUCCUGCCCUGGUGCUGCCAGUCGGGUGGAGGUGUCUCGGGGCCAGCUGGUCUCCUGGCAACUGAAGUCCGCGCUUCCCUUCCAUUCACUCAUUCCUUCCUUUCCUCACGCAGGAGGCGCUGCAAGGCUCCGUGCUCCUGGAGCUUCGAGUCUAUGGUAUGAGUUAAACAGAAGGGUAUCUCCUCCAUCAGAUCUACAGGAGGGUGUCUCCUCCAUCAGACCUGGAGCUCCCAAGGCAUUUUACCCGAAGCUCCAGCACCUGGCCCAAGGCUGGGCUGUGCUGUGUCCUCAGUGAAAGAAUGGAUGAGUCACAACUGAAUGACUGAAGAGCUGAACCAAUGGGAAAACUGAUGCUCAGAGGCUUGAGCAACCUAGGCCAGGACCUGUCCUUAGAGGCAGAAGCAGGACUCAGAGGAAGAGCACCCUGACCACAAAGCCCCAGGGUCCAGAAAGACUCAGCCACUGGAGUCUGUAUUUCCUGAGUCCGCCUCUCACUGGUAAGUCCUGAGCCCCGUUCCUUCCCAGCACCCACUCUUGGAGCAGCUAUCCAGGGCUGUGCUGUGGCUGCUGCGGUCAGGGAGAGGUCGCAUGCUCCAGCCAGGGUCUUUGGGGGCUCAGUUUAGAACUAAUACGCCAAGCAAGUCGUGCUGAGUGUCUGGGCUUCUUCUAGGAAGGUAUUUCCAAUCAUCAAAUGUGCCAUUAAAAAAAAAUGCAUGUCAGUUAAGUGUGCACUAAGCCUGGACCACAUGGGACAUAGUGGUUCCAAUAAACACGAAUAAGCCAGUUUUCACAUUAGAGAAAUACCAGUUUCUUGCAGAAAUGCGGUGCUUUUAAAAGAGGUUAAUUAAUAAACAGCAGGUAAUUGUUCAUGGCACAUUGUGGCGGAGGGUAAUUUUCAUUUUAGAGGAUGGAAGGGCCAAAUACCCCUCCCCACUCAGCAUUUUUCUGUAAUAAUCACCUCAGCUUCACCUCCGCCUUUCAUUUUUACAGCUGGAGCUGUUUAUCAUCGCUCCAACUUUCACUAAAAAGGAAAAACUAUCACUUAACAAAGCCAUUGAAACCCCAGCAUCAUAUGUGGAUUUUUUAACAUAAAUAAAUCAUACAAACUAA